AUCAUGGCUCAGAUUGAACGCUGGCGGCAUGCUUUACACAUGCAAGUCGAACGGCAGCACGGGUGCUUGCACCUGGUGGCGAGUGGCGGACGGGUGAGUAAUGCAUCGGAACGUGUCCUGAAGUGGGGGAUAACGUAGCGAAAGUUACGCUAAUACCGCAUAUUCUGUGAGCAGGAAAGCAGGGGAUCGCAAGACCUUGCGCUCUGGGAGCGGCCGAUGUCGGAUUAGCUAGUUGGUGGGGUAAAGGCCUACCAAGGCGACGAUCCGUAGCGGGUCUGAGAGGAUGAUCCGCCACACUGGGACUGAGACACGGCCCAGACUCCUACGGGAGGCAGCAGUGGGGAAUUUUGGACAAUGGGCGCAAGCCUGAUCCAGCCAUGCCGCGUGAGUGAAGAAGGCCUUCGGGUUGUAAAGCUCUUUCGGCAGGGAAGAAAUUGCACGGGUUAAUACCCUGUGUAGAUGACGGUACCCGAAUAAGAAGCACCGGCUAACUACGUG
This 498-nucleotide ribosomal RNA is filed under the name uncultured bacterium. RNAcentral describes it as "bacterial SSU rRNA". It matches the Rfam family "Bacterial small subunit ribosomal RNA", at positions 16 to 507 of the family's 1533-position model. The record is from RNAcentral.